UACGAAGGGGGCUAGCGUUGUUCGGAAUUACUGGGCGUAAAGCGCACGUAGGCGGAUGUGCCAGUCAGGGGUGAAAUCCCGAGGCUCAACCUCGGAACUGCCUCCGAUACAGCACGUCUCGAGUCCGGAAGAGGUGAGUGGAAUUCCUAGUGUAGAGGUGAAAUUCGUAGAUAUUAGGAAGAACACCAGUGGCGAAGGCGGCUCACUGGUCCGGUACUGACGCUGAGGUGCGAAAGCGUGGGGAGCAAACAGG
Molecule: ribosomal RNA, 253 nt
Filed under: uncultured bacterium
Lineage: Bacteria
Description: partial 16S ribosomal RNA
Rfam family: Bacterial small subunit ribosomal RNA
Source: RNAcentral